GGUGAACGCUGGCGGCGUGCCUAAUACAUGCAAGUCGAACGCGAGAGGAGGGAGCUUGCUCCCUCUGAUCGAGUGGCGGACGGGUGAGUAACACGUAGGCAACCUGCCCAUCAGUCCGGGAUAACCGCGGGAAACCGUGGCUAAUACCGGAUGAUCCUCUCCACCGCGGGGUGGGGAGUUGAAAGACGGUUUCGGCUGUCGCUGAUGGAUGGGCCUGCGGCGCAUUAGCUGGUUGGCGGGGUAACGGCCCACCAAGGCAACGAUGCGUAGCCGCCCUGAGAGGGUGAUCGGCCGCACUGGGACUGAGACACGGCCCAGACUCCUACGGGAGGCAGCAGUAGGGAAUCUUCCACAAUGGACGCAAGUCUGACGGAGCAACGCCGAAUGAGUGAAGAAGGGUUUCGGCUCGUAAAACUCUGUUGUUAAGGAAGAACGACAGGUAGAGUAACUGCUACCUGUGUGACGGUACUUAACCAGAAAGCCACGGCUAACUACGUGCCAGCCGCCGCCGUAA
Molecule: ribosomal RNA, 514 nt
Filed under: uncultured bacterium
Lineage: Bacteria
Description: partial 16S ribosomal RNA
Rfam family: Bacterial small subunit ribosomal RNA
Source: RNAcentral